UCAAAUGUCUUCCAGCCACAGCCUGGCUCUGCUUGACCCUUCCUGCCCUCCUCUGGUAUCCCUUUCCCCUCCAAUCAGGGUCUUUACUCACACUGACCUCCUCUGCUUCUUUGUGCUUACUUAACCCUUUCCUGCCUCAGGGCUUUUGCACUUGUGUCUUCUAGUGGGAACAACAUUUGUUUUUCUUGCCCUUUCCAUCGCUGGCUAUCUCUCUGGGUCUGGCAUAAACUUCCCCAUUUCAGAAAAGCCUGCCGUGUCAGUGAGGGUCUACGGAGAACACAGCGAGCAAGGUUGGUUCCGGGACUUCGCUGCUGGGAAUAGUGCUGCAGUAAACAUGGAUGUGCAAAUAGCUCUGUGAUGCACUGAUGCGGAGUCUUUUGGACAGUGUCUCACUGAGCUUGAAGCGGUCCAUUGGCUGUCCAUAAACCUGAGGGAUCCUCCCGUCUUUCUCCACAGCACUGGCACCUGUGGAGGGACAAUUUCUUGGUCUGUUUCUGCUGCUCAUAACACAACACCACAGACUGGGGAAGUGUCAGCUUGAGGCCUGACAUCUGGCACAGCUGGAGAACCUGCCUCAUCUCAGACUCACACCCAUCCCACCUCUGGUUUCUCCAGCAGGAGGGUGGGUUCAAAAGUCACCAUGGGCACCUUUGGGUCUCAUUGAUGAACGGUUCAGCUCUUCAGCCCUGCGGCCUGGUGUUUUCUGACAGUUCUGUGUCUUCCUGAGCAUUAAGGAGUGUUUCCCAGGAUACAUGCAUGUCAAUGCUAAUGCCAUCUUACCCCAGUGUUGACAGCAGUAACCUAAAGAAAGUGGUAAGCAAGCUAGAAUUCACUGUGAGGAGAAAUGCAGCUGAUGAAGACGAAGACAGUUUAGUCACCUGGUUCUCGUCAUCUUGGCACAUUAAGCCCAAAUUGGUCAAUUGUUCAUCGCGGCGACCAAAGCAGCUACGAGGACGCCUCCAGGGAAGGGAUUAUUUCCUUGGCUCCAAGGUUUCUGCCCACAGUCUGUGGCUUUGUUGCUUCUGGGCCCAUGGUGAGGCAGACAUCACAGGGGUGGGAGGAUGUGGCAGAGGCCCCUGGCCUCUUCUCAUGGCAGACACGAAGCAAAGACGGAGGGAGGGUAGAGGGAGCUGGGACACGAUCCAGUCCUCCAGGAAGCACCUCCAGGAACCUGCUGCCCCCAACUUAUCUUGCCUUCCAUCCCAGACCUUAUAGAGCCUCCCUAAAUAGCUACCCUUCAAUGCAUGGCAGCCAUUUUAUACCUAAACCCUAACUAACCCCAGCUGCCUGAGACAUUGUCAAUGCCUGAAGCUUUACUGGCAGAAGAGGAGGAUUCAUAAUGACCCCCACUCCAGCGGAUUCUGGACACCCUCCCCCCCAUUAAAGAGCCUACUUUCCAGCA
This is a long non-coding RNA of Psammomys obesus (fat sand rat), 1402 nucleotides long. RefSeq lists it as uncharacterized. The transcript has 5 exons. The record is from RefSeq and is a predicted model, not a curated record. NCBI's taxonomy places the organism in Eukaryota, Metazoa, Chordata, Mammalia, Rodentia, Muridae.